Salvelinus namaycush (lake trout) is the source of this 948-nucleotide long non-coding RNA. RefSeq lists it as uncharacterized. The record is from RefSeq and is a predicted model, not a curated record. The transcript is spliced from 2 exons. Lineage: Eukaryota; Metazoa; Chordata; Actinopteri; Salmoniformes; Salmonidae.
UAUCACCUUGUCUGAAUCGAUCCUUGACCGGCUCGCCCUUCUCCAUAUCCAAUUAUCAACAGAAACUUGGUAGCAGAGGAUGGUUGUCUAGAGACCCGGUCCAGAGUGGUUGAUUUGGGUGGGAGAGGGCGAGUUGGUGAAAGGACGGUUCACGGAGGACAGGUGAAAUCUUUUGGGGGGGAGGACGACAGUUCUGCUCAACUCGGGAAACUGAUCUUCUGGUCGACCAUAAACAAGGUAAGCAAGACCUGUUAAAUCAAACUUUGCAUAUUGUCGUAUAGUUCUUCCAAAUUUCGAUCAGUGGUACCGAGUCUGGGUAAGAAUUCUUGUUUAAAUUUAUGAGCAUAGAUGACAUGUGAACGACAGUGAAGUGAACAUAUGUGGGAAUAAUUUGUAAGUCUUAAGCGCUAUUAUAUAGUCCGGCUUGUGACCGGUGAGGAAUAGGCUUAAUUUGUGUUAAAAGCGCUAUUAUAUAGUCCGGCUUGUGACCGGUGAGGAAUAGGCUUAAUGUGAUAAAAAGAUCUAUUCGUAUAGUCCGGCUUGUGACCGGUGAGGAAUAUAGUAAGCACUAUUCAAUAGUCCGGCUAUUCAGUCGGUGAAGGGUAGGCUUAAAAUUGGGAUAGGCACUAUUCAAUAGUCCGGCUAUUCAGCCGGUGAAGGAUAGGCUUGUUCCAUCCCCAUUCAUAUAGUCCGGCUGUGACCGGUGACGAGUGGGGUAAAGUUUGUCAAGACCUAUUAGUAUGGUCCGGCUUGUGUCCGGUGAGGAGUAGGCUAGACUUAUUCAAUAGUCCGGGCGAUUGUCCGGUGAAGAAUAGUCUAUUUGUGUUUGUAGGCGCCAGGUUGAAAAAUGUUCAAUGUUUAAGUGUAAUGUUUCCAAUGUCUAAAGUCUAAGUGUUCAACGUCUAAAGGGUAAUGUUCAUAGUGGGAAAAAUUUAAAUGUUUAAUGUA